RNAcentral lists this transfer RNA (84 nucleotides) under Rhipicephalus sanguineus (brown dog tick). Its description in RNAcentral is "transfer RNA leucine (anticodon CAA)". It matches the Rfam family "tRNA". From Rfam's summary of the family: Transfer RNA (tRNA) molecules are approximately 80 nucleotides in length. Their secondary structure includes four short double-helical elements and three loops (D, anti-codon, and T loops). Lineage: Eukaryota; Metazoa; Arthropoda; Arachnida; Ixodida; Ixodidae. The record is from RNAcentral.
GUCAGAAUGGCCGAGUCGUCUAAGGCGCCAGACUCAAGUUCUGGUCCACGAAUGUGGGCGUGGGUUCGAAUCCCACUUCUGACA